This 269-nucleotide long non-coding RNA is filed under the name Elaeis guineensis (African oil palm). Its description in RNAcentral is "long non-coding RNA (EGUI_LNC037043)". The record is from RNAcentral. Lineage: Eukaryota; Viridiplantae; Streptophyta; Magnoliopsida; Arecales; Arecaceae.
UUCGGAUUAGCCUAAAUCUGAGCUUCGAGUUGGCUUGGAUCUGAUUUUGGAUUGGUCUGAAUCUGGAUUUCAGGUUGGCCUAGAUCUGACUUCGAAUUGGUCUGAAUCUGGAUUUCAGAUUUGCCUGAUUCUGAGCUUCGGAUGGACCUGGAUUUGGCUUCAGAUUAGCCUGGAUUUGGCUUCUGGUUGGCUUGAUUCUGGACUUCGGAUGGGCCUAGAUCUGGCUUCGGAUUGGCCUAAUUGCUGUCGAGAUACUCAUUGUAGAAACC